RNAcentral lists this transfer RNA (90 nucleotides) under Aeromonadales bacterium. RNAcentral's name for it is "tRNA-Ser". It matches the Rfam family "tRNA". From Rfam's summary of the family: Transfer RNA (tRNA) molecules are approximately 80 nucleotides in length. Their secondary structure includes four short double-helical elements and three loops (D, anti-codon, and T loops). The record is from RNAcentral. Lineage: Bacteria; Pseudomonadati; Pseudomonadota; Gammaproteobacteria; Aeromonadales.
GGAUGGAUGGCAGAGCGGUUGAAUGCAACGGUCUUGAAAACCGUCGAGGGUUCGCGCCCUCCGUGAGUUCGAAUCUCACUCCAUCCGCCA